UCCAGACUCCUACGGGAGGCAGCAGUGAGGAAUAUUGGUCAAUGGACGAGAGUCUGAACCAGCCAAGUAGCGUGCAGGAUGACGGCCCUAUGGGUUGUAAACUGCUUUUAUAAGGGAAUAAAGUUAGUCUCGUGAGAUUUUUGCAUGUACCUUAUGAAUAAGGACCGGCUAAUUCCGUGC
This 180-nucleotide ribosomal RNA is filed under the name uncultured bacterium. RNAcentral describes it as "partial 16S ribosomal RNA". It matches the Rfam family "Bacterial small subunit ribosomal RNA", at positions 330 to 508 of the family's 1533-position model. The record is from RNAcentral.